AGAGUUUGAUCAUGGCUCAGAUUGAACGCUGGCGGAAUGCUUUACACAUGCAAGUCGAACGGCAGCACGGAGAGCUUGCUCUCUGGUGGCGAGUGGCGAACGGGUGAGUAAUAUAUCGGAACGUGUCCAAUAAUGGGGGAUAACGAGUCGAAAGAUUCGCUAAUACCGCAUACGCCCUACGGGGGAAAGCAGGGGAUCGUAAGACCUUGCGUUAAUGGAGCGGCCGAUAUCUGAUUAGCUUGUUGGUGAGGUAAAGGCUCACCAAGGCGACGAUCAGUAGCUGGUUUGAGAGAACGACCAGCCACACUGGAACUGAGACACGGUCCAGACUCCUACGGGAGGCAGCAGUGGGGAAUUUUGGACAAUGGGGGCAACCCUGAUCCAGCCAUUCCGCGUGAGUGAAGAAGGCCUUCGGGUUGUAAAGCUCUUUCGCAAGGGAAGAAAACUUAUGAUCGAAUAAAUCAUGAGGUUGACGGUACCUUGAUAAGAAGCACCGGCUAACUACGUGCCAGCAGCCGCGGUAAUACGUAGGGUGCGAGCGUUAAUCGGAAUUACUGGGCGUAAAGCGUGCGCAGGCGGUUUUGUAAGUCGGAUGUGAAAUCCCCGGGCUCAACCUGGGAACUGCGUUCGAAACUGCAAGGCUAGAGUGUGUCAGAGGGGGGUAGAAUUCCACGUGUAGCAGUGAAAUGCGUAGAGAUGUGGAGGAAUACCAAUGGCGAAGGCAGCCCCCUGGGAUAACACUGACGCUCAUGCACGAAAGCGUGGGGAGCAAACAGGAUUAGAUACCCUGGUAGUCCACGCCCUAAACGAUGUCAACUAGUUGUUGGUAGAGUAAAAUCUAUGAGUAACGUA
RNAcentral lists this ribosomal RNA (852 nucleotides) under uncultured bacterium. Its description in RNAcentral is "bacterial SSU rRNA". It matches the Rfam family "Bacterial small subunit ribosomal RNA", at positions 8 to 850 of the family's 1533-position model. The record is from RNAcentral.